RNAcentral lists this ribosomal RNA (491 nucleotides) under uncultured bacterium. RNAcentral describes it as "partial 16S ribosomal RNA". It matches the Rfam family "Bacterial small subunit ribosomal RNA", at positions 28 to 507 of the family's 1533-position model. The record is from RNAcentral.
GAUGAACGCUGGCUACAGGCUUAACACAUGCAAGUCGAGGGGAAACGCCGGGGAAGCUUGCUUCCCCGGGCGUCGACCGGCGCACGGGUGAGUAACGCGUAUCCAACCUGCCUCUGACUGAGGGAUAACCCGUCGAAAGUCGGCCUAAUACCUCAUGGCAUCGUCUGCGGGCAUCCAACGACGAUUAAAGAUUUCAUCGGUCAGAGAUGGGGAUGCGUCUGAUUAGCUUGUUGGCGGGGUAACGGCCCACCAAGGCGACGAUCAGUAGGGGUUCUGAGAGGAAGGUCCCCCACAUUGGAACUGAGACACGGUCCAAACUCCUACGGGAGGCAGCAGUGAGGAAUAUUGGUCAAUGGGCGAGAGCCUGAACCAGCCAAGUAGCGUGCAGGAUGACGGCCCUAUGGGCGGUAAACUGCUUUUAGGCGGGGAUAAAGUGAGGGACGUGUCCUUCAUUGCAGGUACCGCAUGAAUAAGGACCGGCUAAUUCCGUG